GUAAUUUGUAAGAAGCUGAAUGACAGCAGCGGGGAAUAUGUCGCCCACAGCAAGGAAGAGCUUCAGCACUUGGUCGAACUCUCGUACUCGGCAAUUGAUUACAUACAAGCUGGGAACAGACAGCCGGCGUACAUUCCAGUAUCCGACUCAAGAUCUUCUGCUCCUAUAUUUAUUGUUAUAGACGAAAGCUUGGAUGAAGCCCACCUCCAGCAUUUACAGGGUUCACUCCAUGCUUUUCUUGAGUACCUUCCGCCCACGACGAGGGUUGGC
RNAcentral lists this unclassified non-coding RNA (270 nucleotides) under Hevea brasiliensis (rubber tree). Lineage: Eukaryota; Viridiplantae; Streptophyta; Magnoliopsida; Malpighiales; Euphorbiaceae. The record is from RNAcentral.